UGACGGUACCUGACUAAGAAGCCCCGGCUAACUACGUGCCAGCAGCCGCGGUAAUACGUAUGGAGCAAGCGUUAUCCGGAUUUACUGGGUGUAAAGGGAGCGCAGACGGCAAAGCAAGUCUGAAGUGAAAGCCCGGGGCUCAACCCCGGGACUGCUUUGGAAACUGGUCAUCUAGAGUGUCGGAGGGGUAAGUGGAAUUCCUAGUGUAGCGGUGAAAUGCGUAGAUAUUAGGAGGAACACCGGUGGCGAAGGCGGCUUACUGGACGACAACUGACGCUGAGGCUCGAAAGCGUGGGGAGCAAACAGGAUUAGAUACCCUG
This 320-nucleotide ribosomal RNA is filed under the name uncultured bacterium. Its description in RNAcentral is "bacterial SSU rRNA". It matches the Rfam family "Bacterial small subunit ribosomal RNA", at positions 470 to 789 of the family's 1533-position model. The record is from RNAcentral.